Molecule: ribosomal RNA, 595 nt
Filed under: uncultured bacterium
Lineage: Bacteria
Description: partial 16S ribosomal RNA
Rfam family: Bacterial small subunit ribosomal RNA
Source: RNAcentral
UAUUGGGUUUAAAGGGUGCGUAGGCGGCUUUUUAAGUCAGCGGUGAAAGCCGGUCGCUCAACGAUCGAACUGCCGUUGAUACUGAUUAGCUUGAGUUUGAUUGAGGCAGCCGGAAUGGAUAGUGUAGCGGUGAAAUGCAUAGAUAUUAUCCAGAACGCCAAUAGCGUAGGCAGGUUGCUAAGUCAUAACUGACGCUGAGGCACGAGAGUGCGGGGAUCAAACAGGAUUAGAUACCCUGGUAGUCCGCACCGUAAACGAUGAAUACUAGCUGUCGGCCUUUCGAGGUCGGUGGCACAGGGAAACCGUUAAGUAUUCCACCUGGGGAGUACGCCGGCAACGGUGAAACUCAAAGGAAUUGACGGGGGCCCGCACAAGCGGGAACACCAGUGGCGAAGGCGCUCUGCUGGACCGCAACUGACACUCAUGGACGAAAGCUAGGGGAGCGAAAGGGAUUAGAUACCCCUGUAGUCCUAGCCGUAAACGAUGAACACUAGGUGUUGGACGUAUCGACCCGUUCAGUGCCGUAGCCAACGCGUUAAGUGUUCCGCCUGGGGAGUACGCACGCAAGUGUGAAACUCAAAGGAAUUGACGGGGG